CCUACGGGCGGCAGCAGUGGGGAAUAUUGGGCAAUGGAGGAAACUCUGACCCAGCAACGCCGCGUGAAUGAUGAAGGUCUUCGGAUUGUAAAGUUCUUUUCUAAGGGGAGAAGAAAGUGACGGUACUUUAGGAAUAAGCCUCGGCUAACUACGUGCCAGCAGCCGCGGUAAUACGUAGGCGGCAAGCGUUAUCCGGAAUGACUGGGCGUAAAGGGUGCGUAGGUGGUUUGACAAGUUGGUAGCGAAACUCCGGGGCUCAACCUCGGAACUACUACCAAAACUGUCGGACUUGAGUACAGGAGAGGCAAAUGGAAUUCCUAGUGUAGCGGUGAAAUGCGUAGAUAUUAGGAGGAACACCAGUGGCGAAGGCGGUUUGCUGGACUGGAACUGACACUGAGGCACGAAAGCGUGGGGAGCAAACAGGAUUAGAUACCCCAGUAGUC
Molecule: ribosomal RNA, 443 nt
Filed under: uncultured bacterium
Lineage: Bacteria
Description: partial 16S ribosomal RNA
Rfam family: Bacterial small subunit ribosomal RNA
Source: RNAcentral